UAAUUGAAGAGUUUGAUCAUGGCUCAGAUUGAACGCUGGCGGCAGGCUUAACACAUGCAAGUCGAGCGGUAGCACAGGGGAGCUUGCUCCCUCGGGUGACGAGCGGCGGACGGGUGAGUAAUGUCUGGGAAACUGCCUGAUGGAGGGGGAUAACUACUGGAAACGGUAGCUAAUACCGCAUAACGUCGCAAGACCAAAGAGGGGGACCUUCGGGCCUCUUGCCAUCAGAUGUGCCCAGAUGGGAUUAGCUAGUAGGUGGGGUAAUGGCUCACCUAGGCGACGAUCCCUAGCUGGUCUGAGAGGAUGACCAGCCACACUGGAACUGAGACACGGUCCAGACUCCUACGGGAGGCAGCAGUGGGGAAUAUUGCACAAUGGGCGCAAGCCUGAUGCAGCCAUGCCGCGUGUGUGAAGAAGGCCUUCGGGUUGUAAAGCACUUUCAGCGAGGAGGAAGGUGGUGAAGCUUAAUACGUUCAUCAAUUGACGUUACUCGCAGAAGAAGCACCGGCUAACUCCGUGCCAGCAGCCGCGGUAAUACGGAGGGUGCAAGCGUUAAUCGGAAUUACUGGGCGUAAAGCGCACGCAGGCGGUUUGUUAAGUCAGAUGUGAAAUCCCCGGGCUCAACCUGGGAACUGCAUUUGAAACUGGCAAGCUAGAGUCUCGUAGAGGGGGGUAGAAUUCCAGGUGUAGCGGUGAAAUGCGUAGAGAUCUGGAGGAAUACCGGUGGCGAAGGCGGCCCCCUGGACGAAGACUGACGCUCAGGUGCGAAAGCGUGGGGAGCAAACAGGAUUAGAUACCCUGGUAGUCCACGCUGUAAACGAUGUCGAUUUGGAGGUUGUGCCCUUGAGGCGUGGCUUCCGGAGCUAACGCGUUAAAUCGACCGCCUGGGGAGUACGGCCGCAAGGUUAAAACUCAAAUGAAUUGACGGGGGCCCGCACAAGCGGUGGAGCAUGUGGUUUAAUUCGAUGCAACGCGAAGAACCUUACCUACUCUUGACAUCCAGAGAACUUUCCAGAGAUGGAUUGGUGCCUUCGGGAACUCUGAGACAGGUGCUGCAUGGCUGUCGUCAGCUCGUGUUGUGAAAUGUUGGGUUAAGUCCCGCAACGAGCGCAACCCUUAUCCUUUGUUGCCAGCGGUUCGGCCGGGAACUCAAAGGAGACUGCCAGUGAUAAACUGGAGGAAGGUGGGGAUGACGUCAAGUCAUCAUGGCCCUUACGAGUAGGGCUACACACGUGCUACAAUGGCGUAUACAAAGAGAAGCGACCUCGCGAGAGCAAGCGGACCUCAUAAAGUACGUCGUAGUCCGGAUUGGAGUCUGCAACUCGACUCCAUGAAGUCGGAAUCGCUAGUAAUCGUAGAUCAGAAUGCUACGGUGAAUACGUUCCCGGGCCUUGUACACACCGCCCGUCACACCAUGGGAGUGGGUUGCAAAAGAAGUAGGUAGCUUAACCUUCGGGAGGGCGCUUACCACUUUGUGAUUCAUGACUGGGGUGAAGUCGUAACAAGGUAACCGUAGGGGAACCUGCGGUUGGAUCACCUCCUUA
RNAcentral lists this ribosomal RNA (1544 nucleotides) under Serratia ureilytica. Its description in RNAcentral is "bacterial SSU rRNA". It matches the Rfam family "Bacterial small subunit ribosomal RNA". The record is from RNAcentral. Lineage: Bacteria; Pseudomonadati; Pseudomonadota; Gammaproteobacteria; Enterobacterales; Yersiniaceae.